UACAGAGGGUGCGAGCGUUGUUCGGAAUCACUGGGCGUAAAGCGCGUGUAGGCGGUCUCGUUAGUCAGAUGUGAAAGCCCUAGGCUCAACCAAGGAAGUGCAUCUGAUACUGCGAGACUAGAGUUCCGGAGGGGGUGGCGGAAUUCCCGGUGUAGAGGUGAAAUUCGUAGAUAUCGGGAGGAACACCUGUGGCGAAGGCGGCCACCUGGACGGACACUGACGCUGAGACGCGAAAGCGUGGGGAGCAAACAGG
Molecule: ribosomal RNA, 253 nt
Filed under: uncultured bacterium
Lineage: Bacteria
Description: partial 16S ribosomal RNA
Rfam family: Bacterial small subunit ribosomal RNA
Source: RNAcentral